This is a long non-coding RNA of Mauremys reevesii (Reeves's turtle), 1065 nucleotides long. RefSeq lists it as uncharacterized. The record is from RefSeq and is a predicted model, not a curated record. The transcript has 4 exons. NCBI's taxonomy places the organism in Eukaryota, Metazoa, Chordata, Testudines, Geoemydidae.
GUCAGGGUGGGGCAACAAGCAGUAGUUCAAGGGCUCAGGUCCUCAGGCAGGAGCUGAGCAAACAGCAGCACUUCACAAGCCAGCUGCCACAGUGAGAUAAGAAAAACAGAGACGACUCAAAAAGAAACCAACCUGAGGAAAUUCUUCCCAAGACUUCAACACGGAUUGACAGGUUGCACUGCCACAGCUGUGGAAGCAGGGGAAGAUUUCACCCUGAACAACAGGGUCGUUAUCCAAGACAGAAGAUAAAAUACCACAUUCCACUUCAUGGGUGGAAGGAUAGUUUAGAGUUAAAUCUGGGAGCCAAGAGAGCUAUCCCUGGGACAAAUUCUGAAAUCUCUAAUGGAGACCAAUGAAGUAUAGCUCACCAGCUUCAACAAAGAGGAACUAAAUCAAGAUUUCUUAUUAUGUUAGUAUUUAUUAAUUACUACUUGUACAGUACUUUGAAGUAGUAAAAUACUAGGGAAGUAUUUUUAAUUAAUUAUUAUUUUAAAGAAUAUACAAGGUUUCUACAGUGGAAUCACUUUGAGCCAAUGAGUUAAAAAUGCAGAUACUCACAAAAGCCAAACUGGCAGACUUGUCUUAAAUCUCAUUGGCAUGAUAGGAUCAUUAUACAGCUUAAGUUGAAGUGAAGGGGUAACAUUUGCUGCUGAUUAGUGUGAAUUUUAAUGGCCAGGUGCCAUAGAACGUUAUGCUCUUCUCGUGCCAAGGAAACAUAUCGGAUGCAGAUUCUCGAAGGUUUCCAUGGUGUGGGGGGAGGUAGGAAAGGGAGGAGGAAGAAAAAGACAACCUAGUGUGAAAGAAAGUUAGGAGAAGGAAGCAAAAUCCAAGGUUCAUCUAAUAGGUAGAUCAAAGAGCUGAGUUCUUAGGUCUGACACUCAACCACACCUCCCAGAGCACAAUUAGCAGGUUAAGCUGCAGGUAUGGCUGUGAGGCUAGCAAGAAGUAGCUUUUCCAAAUCUUCAGUAAGAUAUUCUUUUAAAUUUCUUGGAAGGUGAAGCGGGGUUGUAAAAUAAUCCUGCUUUGUCUUUAGACAGGCAUGACUAUCACUGGUGAUUCAACAGA